RNAcentral lists this ribosomal RNA (489 nucleotides) under uncultured bacterium. Its description in RNAcentral is "partial 16S ribosomal RNA". It matches the Rfam family "Bacterial small subunit ribosomal RNA", at positions 28 to 507 of the family's 1533-position model. The record is from RNAcentral.
GACGAACGCUGGCGGCGUGCUUAACACAUGCAAGUCGAACGGUGAAGGGACCAGCUUGCUGGUUCUGGAUGAGUGGCGAACGGGUGAGUAACACGUGAGUAACCUGCCCCCUUCUUCUGGAUAACCGCAUGAAAGUGUGGCUAAUACGGGAUAUUCUGGGUCUGUCGCAUGGCGGGCCCGGGAAAGAUAUUGCUUCGGUGGGGGAUGGGCUCGCGGCCUAUCAGCUUGUUGGUGGGGUGAUGGCCUACCAAGGCGGUGACGGGUAGCCGGCCUGAGAGGGGGGACGGUCACACUGGGACUGAGACACGGCCCAGACUCCUACGGGAGGCAGCAGUGGGGAAUAUUGCACAAUGGGCGCCAGCCUGAUGCAGCGACGCCGCGUGAGGGAUGGAGGCCUUCGGGUUGUAAACCUCUUUCGCCAGUGAAGCAGGCCUGCUCCUUGUGGGUGGGUUGACGGUAGCUGGAUAAGAAGCGCCGGCUAACUACGUG